GAAAUUCUCAAAGACCCUGAGCAAUUUGCGAAACACAUAUUUGGUAGCGAAUAUGAAAUAACUCAUUUUUCAUUUGUCUCAGAGGAUGUGGCGUUGGUACAGUGGCGUCAUGCUGACGGCGUUGGAGGGCAGACCUCCAACAUAAAUGUAUUCAUUGGUGCGUUCACCACGGCUCAUGCCCGGCUUGAACUGUAUAAUGUCAUGGAUAGGUUAGGCCAGUGGGUGUUGUACUGUGACACUGACAGUGUGAUUUUUGUUUCAAAAGAUGGUGAUUGGGAACCACCACUAGGGCCGUAUUUAGGGGAUCUCACAGAUGAGCUGGGUGUAGGCGAUCAUAUUGUGGAGUUCUGUUCUGGAGGGCCGAAAACAUACGGAUACCGUACAGCUCUGGGUAAAACUUGUAUGAAAGCUAAGGGCAUCACCCUGAAUGCUGAAAAUUCUAAACUCAUCAGGUUAGACACCCUGAUUGACCUGGUUGAUCAUCACGUGAUCAAUCGCAACAGCACACACCACAUCCUAGCCCAGGCUGACAAUAUUGUGCGCAAUAAGAAGGACCUCACUCUAAAAAAUAAAGUAGAUGUUAAGCGCUUCAGAGUUGUGUACAACAAGCGUGUGUUAUGUCCUGACUACUCAACGCUGCCAUACGGAUACUGAUUGUCUGUGGGGUAUGUUAAAAAUGGCUAUGUUUAAUACUGGUUUGACAGCUGUUAAUAUUUUUGAUUUCAGACUACAACACCCUUUUUCAUGUAUGGUCAGUGGCCCCUCCAACUCGGAAGACCUAUUUUGUAAAAAUGUUAAUAAUGUAUGCUGACCAUGUGAUUUGUAAUAAAAUUAAUAACAUUGUAUAUAUAUAUAACUGUUGGCAGCCUCUUUAUGACGACCUGUUGAAAAUGAGACCCAUUAAUUUCAUACAAGGGAUCCCUAAAGCCCUAGAUGACGAUGUGUUAUUACCGGUGUCCAAAAACAAUUUAUUGGUUAUUGAUGUCAUAAAAGAUGCCAGUAGUAAUGAGCAAGUUGAAAAGGCAUUUACACAAUAUGUACACCAUCGUAAUCUCAGUGUUAUAUAUCUGGUCCAGAAUCAGUUUUUUCAAGGUAAAUCCAGCCGCACUAUCAGUCUAAAUACAAACUAUCUAAUAUUAUUUAAGAAUGUACGUGAUAAUAACCAAGUGGCCAUCUUGGCUAGACAAAUGUAUCCUGGUAAUACAAAAUAUUUUAUGGAGUGUUUUAAAGAUGCUACAGAGAAACCGCAUGGCUACCUCAUGGUUGAUUAUAAAACUAAGACACCAGAGUCAUUCUGACUCAGAACAGAUUUACUUGCAACACAUCCGGUGGUCUACAUCCAGAAAAAGGGUUAAAAUACCACCAUGUCAGGGCUGGUGCGGCGAAACUUGUCGCUUCUGAAAAAACUACUUAAAGCUAAACCGCACCAAAGGCGGAUCAUUUUACAAACAGGAUCAGAUGAGUUAAUCCUGUCUCUAUGCAAAGUAGCAUUGAACAUUCUCCGAGGUACUAUUCCCCUCACAAGCGGUCAAUAUAGAAGAUUGGUCAAAAAGAAGUCAUUGAUCAAGCUUAUAGCUGAUAAGAAAAUUGGUGUGGUGAAGAAAAGACGUACAAUUAACCAACAGGGUGGUUUUAUCCUACCCCUCCUGAGUGUGGCAAUACCAUUCAUAACUAGCCUCAUAGCAUCAAGACGUGGUUAAAAGGGAUGGAGUAUGCUGAGAAAAUGUAUUUGGUUCGACAGCAGCAGCUGGAUAGCUUAAAGCAUAAUGAAACAUCCCCCAAUCUAAGACAGAGUGCCGAAAACUAUUUGGAUACAGCUAUAAAAAAUGUUUUGAGUAGGACUGAUAUGGAGCAGCAUGAAAAAGCUAAACUGUAUACGGCCCUGUUGCAGAGAUAUUUGGCACUGGUUAAACAGGGGGCUCUCGAGACAAACACUUUAAAAUUAAGUUUAGCCCAAGACCAGGCAAACACGGGUCUCGCUACCCCAUUAAUAACCCCAGUUACAAACAGUGGGUUGGAUGAUGACCCCAAGAUUGUAGCCAUUUUAAAAAAUAUACCCUUGAGAUGUAAAAAGAAUGCCAUGCAUAUAUUAGAGAAGAUGCUUGACUCAAGAUACAGCGUGCUGGACUGAGUCUGGUGAGUUUGUUUUCAACAAGAUGAUUGUCCCUGGAACACAUAUAAUUGAUUUGGUAAAAAGUGCCACAGCGCCUCAGAAGAUUAGACAUAGGCCUCGGGGGUGGGUUGAAUUUCUGAGCGCCAUGGGAAUGUUAAAUAUACCCAUGUCCACAGUUCCUAAUAGGGAAGUUCAACAGUUGGUUGAAUCUUUGAAAAGACCUGCAACACCCAGUUAUGUUACCCCUGGUAGAGUUUUAGCAAGAACAGACCUUUUAUCAGAUGCUGUAGAUGUUUUGCGGUGGUUGAAGUUUUAAUUAUGUAUUGAUUAUGUGUAUUUGUGCUGUAUAAUGAAAAUAAAAAACCUUUUGUGAAAUAUAUGUAAAUAGGCCUAUUAUGUGUAUUCUGUGUAUAACAGUAAAUGCAUCAAAUCACCCUGCUAUAUGACAUUUAACCAUGUUUAUGUUCAUUUUUUCAUCAAUAAAAACCCUUAAACCGUUGUUUUUUGUCUUUUUCAUUGUUUUAUUUGGUUAGAAAACUUUGCCCCAUCUUGUACAUGUUGGAUGCAGCAUAGCAUAUUAGAACUACAUUUACAUGGUUGUAGCUUUUUCACAAAUGUUGAAACCAUAUUAUCAUUUCUUAACAAAUCAUGAGAAUAUUUUGACACUACAUCUAUAUAGUUUAGACCGUUCAACAUGUUAUAGAUAAAGAAGACACAAUGCUCGCCACAUGUGAUGGCUGCAUAGUCUUGGACCUGUCUGUUUGAGAAUUGUAUGGUAGAACAGUUAGUUUUAAAAAAUGUGUAGAUGCCUGUGGGGAACAGUGGGGAGUUUGGUUUGUUACCAAAGCUGUCGAAAAAACAGCCGGAGCUGGCAUCGGUUAUGUAUACAGCGAGCCAAUGCUCACCAGCCUGGUCUGAGUUAUGGGUGUUGAUUAUAACCGACACCGGUAGUUGCUGUAAUGGGUUGCGAGGUAGUUGAUCGCAUGCUAAAACCCCAAGGAAAUGGCUGUUUUUGGAAAAUUUCGCCAUAAUCGCCGAUAGUUGUAGUGUAUUCAUGGCCUCAGUAAUAAUCAAUUAGUACCUGUCUACGAUUUGAGACCUCUAUUAUACUGUCAAAUAUGGCAUAAACUAUUACAUUUAUAGUGCUGCGUAGCAGUUGCCUGAAACGGGUUUCUAAUCUGAUGUUACCCGACUUAAUUAAUGAUAGAUGCUGACCACACUCUUCGUCAGGUGAGAGAUUGAAGGCGUAUAGCGUAUAACCGUGUAAAAAAUCUUCACGGUCUAUCAACAUGGCCCUAUUUUUUAAAUGUCUGCCUGUGGCUAAGGCCAACUGGUAAAAUUCUCGCACAGCAGCCCCCUGUAAAUACUGAGGUUGUAAAGGCUUUGCUGGCUGCUGUAACCCAUCCACAUACAGAGCCAGAAAUUCUAAAUCAUAAUUGUUGAAGGCAAAUGGAUUCUUAUCAUAGGCGCCUGUAAACGCAUCAUUUUUAACCAUUGCUAUUAUAAUAGAUUUGGGUAAUGUUCCCAGAAAGAGAUUUUCUUGAUUGGCAACCCUAGUACCAGUGGGUAUUGAGAAAUUCUUUAGACAGACCCGGUCAACCGGGUAUUUAGCUGUUGCAGAGAGUAGGGCAUGCGCGUGUCCAAGUCUUACGGCCGCUGAUACAGAUGCUUUUUUCACAAAUAGUGACGCCGAAACCAUACUAAUUUUAUAGUCCACAUCAUCAGCCCUCAUUAGACAGAACUCAUCCUUUGCCCGGGUCAAUCUGAUUCUGAUAUCCACAUUAUUCAACAUCAGUUUUUCUUGAAAAAAGAUAUCACUGUGUAUGGGGGUUAAUAGUUCUACAACUCUACUGUUUGCUGUGAAUGUGGCUCUCUUCCGCAGGCCAGUGUUAGCUCCUAGGGGGUCUGCUAUGUCCAUACGACCGGCUAUGUCUUUGUAAAACAAACCCGCCGAGAAUAGCGAUUCCAGAGUCUGCCUGUCAUAAUUCAUGAGACAUUCUAUGAUGCAGCGAUAUGGAUAGGUAUUUGACCCCUGUGAGAUCAGUCGAUCACCCAAUGAGACGUCAACCUGUGAGAAUAUUGUUGAGCCUGGAUAAUUCACUAACCCCACCUUGGCGGCAGCAUCAAUAUUCGAGCCAUCCGGUUUUGUGAUUUUGAUCCUUGUAUACAAAAGUGUGUUAUUCAAAUCUAUAUAGUCAUCACCAUUCCCGGCAAUGAAAAAUUCCAGGGGCGAUGUAUCCGACAAAGCUGUUAUAGGUGAUAUCUCAACAUAAGUCGAUUUUUCAAUCGUUGUUUGGGUCAUAGGUACUGUAAAAAGAUCGAGCUCCGACUUCACGCAUUCCUCAGACAAUCCGUGUAUUAGAGCCAUAAUCAGAAUAUAUUUUUAAACUUCUUUUUCACACUAGCGCCUCUACGUUGUGCAUCAGGCGUCUUCCGUUUAGUCACUGAGCGUUUCUUAGGUUUGCCCCUAUUUUUUAUUGCUGUCGAGACACGCCGCACCCCUGGAGGUCUUUUCGACCUGGUACGACUCAUCACAAGCAUGCCUGAACCAGCCUGGGCUUGGUCUCCACGAUGAUUCACAACCCUAGAUAUGACAUCACCGACAAUAUUUUUAGCAGCAGCUUUUAGAUGUGGUUUAGCAAUCCCGAUUCCUUUCCUCAAUAGAGGUAUAGCCAUGCGAAAAAGCCCCCUGAAUAACCCUCCAAGACCAGCCCCAUACAUAGUGGUACCCCCAGUAAACCCUGGCAUAAAGCCACCAGCC
This is a long non-coding RNA of Clupea harengus (Atlantic herring), 4874 nucleotides long. Lineage: Eukaryota; Metazoa; Chordata; Actinopteri; Clupeiformes; Clupeidae. The record is from Ensembl.